GACGAACGCUGGCGGCGUGCUUAACACAUGCAAGUCGAACGGAAAGGCCCUUCGGGGUCCUCGAGUGGCGAACGGGUGAGUAACACGUGGGUGAUCUGCCCUGCACUUUGGGAUAAGUCUGGGAAACUGGGUCUAAUACCGAAUAGGACCACGCGCUUCAUGGUGUGUGGUGGAAAGCUUUUGCGGUGUGGGAUGGGCCCGCGGCCUAUCAGCUUGUUGGUGGGGUAAUGGCCUACCAAGGCGACGACGGGUAGCCGGCCUGAGAGGGUGACCGGCCACACUGGGACUGAGAUACGGCCCAGACUCCUACGGGAGGCAGCAGUGGGGAAUAUUGCACAAUGGGCGCAAGCCUGAUGCAGCGACGCCGCGUGAGGGAUGACGGCCUUCGGGUUGUAAACCUCUUUCAAUAGGGACGAAGCGCAAGUGACGGUACCUAUAGAAGAAGCACCGGCCAACUACGUG
This 462-nucleotide ribosomal RNA is filed under the name uncultured bacterium. RNAcentral's name for it is "partial 16S ribosomal RNA". It matches the Rfam family "Bacterial small subunit ribosomal RNA", at positions 28 to 507 of the family's 1533-position model. The record is from RNAcentral.